Notothenia coriiceps (black rockcod) is the source of this 219-nucleotide long non-coding RNA. RefSeq lists it as uncharacterized. Lineage: Eukaryota; Metazoa; Chordata; Actinopteri; Perciformes; Nototheniidae. The record is from RefSeq and is a predicted model, not a curated record. The transcript is spliced from 2 exons.
UUAAAUUCCCCUGUCUCCCAGUGUUCAGUGUCAGUUCGUCUUGUCUCUUGCCAUGGUCAGGUCUAUGCUCUCUGUGCUCUUGAAAAGUGUUGUUCCUCACUACGUGAGCGCUUUCAUUUUGUUCUCAAUUUUUGUCAUCUCAACUUGAGAUUUGAUAGUGACUUUUUUUUGUUCAUCUUGCUGUAUUUUGGAAAAAUAAAGUAUCUUACCAAUACUUUA